AUCAGCACUCCCAUUAAGAAAGCUGCUUUUAUGACAUCACCGGUGAUUAAACCGACCUAAUUUCUCCCAGGCUGGCAGAGUCAAGAGCCUCAUUCAGUACAGAAACCUGCUCUAUGGGCCUCAGCUAAGCCACUUGAGAAAAAAAAAAAAGACCUGUAAUUUGUUCUGGGAGGAAAAGAAAAAUGGUGUGCAGCUGCAGCUUGCCGCACGUGAGACGUGGAGCAGGAGAGACCCAGGCGUUCCACAGCCAGCCCCUCUCUCUGCUGGGGCCUGGGGUUCCGGAAAUGCUUGGUCCUUCGUGCGAUGGAUGCCUGCUGAGCAGAGAGGUGGUUUCUGAGCUCCUGAGGGCUGACGUGGUAUCGUAGUCACCUUAGCAUCUCUAAUCUUUAGUGCCAGACUGGGUAUACGCAGGAUGAUCGUUUUGAAGGACAAAUCUGAUAGGCAUGGGAAGUCCCAGACAAUACGGCUUCUGGCAGACUGACUUGCCUUGCCAAAGCUCACGACCUGGCUUGCGUGGCAAAUAAUGAAAGAGCUUGAACAGGGGAAUUCUUCAUGAUAGCAUGCUGAUUCAUUCUGCAAAGUAGUGCCUGAGCACCUCCUGUGUGCCUGGGGCUGAGGACGGAGUGGUGAACAAGACAGUGAAAACCCCCUCCUCAUGAAGCUUACCUUCCAAUGGCUGUCUUCGCAUUUGUGUUAAAAGGAGAGUGACGUGUUUCCAUUCGUCUGUGAAAACAAGGUGAUGAGUCAAUUUGGUGAAAAAUGAGUAGAAGAUGGUGACCUAGCUCCACUUAGCCAAGUCUUCAACUCAAGAGAAACUGUUACUCAAGGAAUUGGACUUGAAGAGCCUCAUCUGCACAUGGACCUGGUUUAAAUGGUGAGAGUCUGGACUCUGAGCUCAUGCUGUGAUGAGAUGAGAGUUUGGGGGACCUUGAAAGCGGGUGAGUUUAUUUUGUGUGUGAGAGGGCAUGAAUAAUUCAGAAGAUGGACU
This 988-nucleotide long non-coding RNA is filed under the name Equus asinus (donkey). Its description in RNAcentral is "lncRNA (ENSEASG00005036194.1)". Lineage: Eukaryota; Metazoa; Chordata; Mammalia; Perissodactyla; Equidae. The record is from RNAcentral.